This is a long non-coding RNA of Prionailurus viverrinus (fishing cat), 296 nucleotides long. RefSeq lists it as uncharacterized. The record is from RefSeq and is a predicted model, not a curated record. The transcript is spliced from 3 exons. Lineage: Eukaryota; Metazoa; Chordata; Mammalia; Carnivora; Felidae.
AGAAACCCAGUCUUCGGCACCCUCCCUUCAGACUGCUCACGUAUAAUCUACUGCAAAGUUGACAAAACAGGUGGAGAAGCUCAGGCCGAUGGGAUGAAUUCCGAACUCCUCGGCAUGACAUACGUACAGUAACCUUCACGGAAGGAUCCCUGGCUUAGCCUUCCCGUCUCCUCCCCACGACACUCAUGCCCUGCCUCAUGCAGCUUUACGGGGUGCCUCGCUGGCUGAGUCCGUGAAGCGUCUGACUCUGUUUCAGCUCAGCUCACGAUCUCGCGGUUCACGAGUUUGAGCCCAGC